Perognathus longimembris pacificus (Pacific pocket mouse) is the source of this 165-nucleotide long non-coding RNA. RefSeq lists it as uncharacterized. The transcript is spliced from 3 exons. The record is from RefSeq and is a predicted model, not a curated record. NCBI's taxonomy places the organism in Eukaryota, Metazoa, Chordata, Mammalia, Rodentia, Heteromyidae.
AUCUGGUAGGAGACAUGUAAAGGUGAUCAUAAUGGAGACAGGAAGAUAAAAUUGGUAGUAGGAAUGAGAGUAAGGGAUGAAUUAGAAUAUGAAGGCUCAUGGUCUCUUCCUUCUUUUCCUAUUCAGAAAUAAAAAAAUUAACCUUAAAAGAGAAACCAGGAAUGG